Molecule: ribosomal RNA, 1306 nt
Filed under: uncultured bacterium
Lineage: Bacteria
Description: bacterial SSU rRNA
Rfam family: Bacterial small subunit ribosomal RNA
Source: RNAcentral
AACGUACGCUGGCGGCACGCCUAACACAUGCAAGUCGAACGAAGUAGCAAUACUUAGUGGCAGACGGGUGAGUAACAUGUAGGUAUCUGCCCUUUGGCCUGGAAUAACACGAGGAAACUUGUGCUAAUACCGGAUAAGUCUUUACGGAGAAAGCUUUAUGCACCAUUGGAUGAGCCUGCAAUUGAUUAGUUUGUUGGUGGGGUAAUGGCCUACCAAGACUGUGAUCAAUAGCUGAUUUGAGAGGAUGAUCAGCCACAUUGGGACUGAGACACGGCCCAAACUCCUACGGGAGGCAGCAGUGGGGAAUCUUGCACAAUGGAGGAAACUCUGAUGCAGCGAUGCCGCGUGAGUGAAGAAGGCCCUUGGGUUGUAAAGCUCUUUCGUCGGGGAAGAAAAUGACUGUACCCGAAUAAGAAGGUCCGGCUAACUUCGUGCCAGCAGCCGCGGUAAUACGAAGGGACCUAGCGUAGUUCGGAAUUACUGGGCUUAAAGAGUUCGUAGGUGGUUGAAAAAGUUAGUGGUGAAAUCCCAGAGCUUAACUCUGGAACUGCCAUUAAAACUUUUCAGCUAGAGUAUGAUAGAGGAAAGCAGAAUUUCUAGUGUAGAGGUGAAAUUCGUAGAUAUUAGAAAGAAUACCAAUUGCGAAGGCAGCUUUCUGGAUCAUUACUGACACUGAGGAACGAAAGCAUGGGUAGCGAAGAGGAUUAGAUACCCUCGUAGUCCAUGCCGUAAACGAUGUGUGCUAGACGUUGGAAAUUUAUUUUCAGUGUCGCAGGGAAACCGAUAAACACACCGCCUGGGGAGUACGACCGCAAGGUUAAAACUCAAAUGAAUUGACGGGGACCCGCACAAGUAGUGGAGCAUGUGGUUUAAUUCGAAGAUACGCGCAGAACCUUACCAACACUUGACAUGUUCGUCGCGACUCUAAGAGAUUAGAGUUUUCGGUUCGGCCGGACGAAACACAGGUGCUGCAUGGCUGUCGUCAGCUCGUGUCGUGAGAUGUUGGGUUAAGUCCCGCAACGAGCGCAACCCUCACUUUUAGUUGCCAUCAUUAAGUUGGGCACUCUGAAAGAACUGCCAGUGAUAAGCUGGAGGAAGGUGGGGAUGACGUCAAGUCCUCAUGGCCCUUACGUGUUGGGCUACACACGUGCUACAAUGGUAUCUACAACAGGAAGCAAGACUGCGAAGUUAAGCAAAUCCCUAAAAGAUACCUCAGUUCGGAUUGCACUCUGCAACUCGAGUGCAUGAAGCUGGAAUUACUAGUAAUCGUGGAUCAGCGUGCCACGGUGAAUGCGUUCCCGGGUCU